UACGAAGGGGGCUAGCGUUGUUCGGAAUUACUGGGCGUAAAGCGCGCGUAGGCGGUUUUGCAAGCCAGAGGUGAAAUGCCUGAGCUCAACUCAGGAAUGGCCUUUGGGACUGCGAGGCUUUGAGGACUGGAGAGGUGAGUGGAAUUCCCAGUGUAGAGGUGAAAUUCGUAGAUAUUGGGAAGAAUACCGAUGGCGAAGGCAGCCCCCUGGGAUAACACUGACGCUCAUGCACGAAAGCGUGGGGAGCAAACAGG
Molecule: ribosomal RNA, 254 nt
Filed under: uncultured bacterium
Lineage: Bacteria
Description: partial 16S ribosomal RNA
Rfam family: Bacterial small subunit ribosomal RNA
Source: RNAcentral